GACGAACGCUGGCGGCGUGCCUAACACAUGCAAGUCGAACGAAGUAAGCUUCUUCACCAAACAUUAAAGUACCACCUCAAGCGCAUUUGUGCAGAAUGGUUGAUAAUAAUGGAUAAAGGGUGGGGCAAAAAUAUUAAAUAAUAAAUGGAAAGCGUCAAAUGCGCUUCACGCUUAUUAUAGCUAGCCAACACAAACAAAAAUUUUAGUGUUUGGAGAAGCAGCUUGCUUAGUGGCGGACGGGUGAGUAACGCGUGAACAAUCUGCCCUGUACAAAGGAAUAGCCUCGGGAAACCGGGAUUAAAACCGUAUGACACUUUAGUAUCGCAUGAUAAGAAAGUCAAAUCGAUUAGAGGUAUGGGAUGAGUUCGCGUCUGAUUAGCUGGUUGGCGGGGUAACGGCCCGACCAAGGCGACGAUCAGUAGCCGGCCUGAGAGGGUGAACGGUCACACUGGAACUGAGACACGGUCCAGACUCCUACGGGAGGCAGCAGUGGGAAUAUUG
Molecule: ribosomal RNA, 501 nt
Filed under: uncultured bacterium
Lineage: Bacteria
Description: bacterial SSU rRNA
Rfam family: Bacterial small subunit ribosomal RNA
Source: RNAcentral